GAUAUUCCUGUACCACCUAGUAUCGUUUUAAUCGAUGGGGGGACGCAGUAGGAUAGGCGAAGCGUGCUGUUGGAGUGCACGUCCAAGCAGUAAGGCUGAGUGUUAGGCAAAUCCGGCACUCAUAAGGCUGAGCUGUGAUGGGGAGAGGAAAUUGUUUCCUCGAGUCGCUGAUUUCACACUGCCGAGAAAAGCCUCUAGAUAGAUAACAGGUGCCCGUACCGCAAACCGACACAGGUAGUCAAGAUGAGAAUUCUAAGGUGAGCGAGCGAACUCUCGUUAAGGAACUCGGCAAAAUGACCCCGUAACUUCGGGAGAAGGGGUGCUCUUUAGGGUUCACGCCCAGAAGAGCCGCAGUGAAUAGGCCCAAGCGACUGUUUAUCAAAAACACAGGUCUCUGCUAAACCGUAAGGUGAUGUAUAGGGGCUGACGCCUGCCCGGUGCUGGAAGGUUAAGAGGAGUGGUUAGCUUCUGCGAAGCUACGAAUCGAAGCCCCAGUAAACGGCGGCCGUAACUAUAACGGUCCUAAGGUAGCGAAAUUCCUUGUCGGGUAAGUUCCGACCCGCACGAAAGGCGUAACGAUUUGGGCACUGUCUCAACGAGAGACUCGGUGAAAUCAUAGUACCUGUGAAGAUGCAGGUUACCCGCGACAGGACGGAAAGACCCCGUGGAGCUUUACUGUAGCCUGAUAUUGAAAUUCGGCACAGCUUGUACAGGAUAGGUAGGAGCCUUUGAAACGUGAGCGCUAGCUUACGUGGAGGCGUUGGUGGGAUACUACCCUAGCUGUGUUGGCUUUCUAACCCGCACCACUUAUCGUGGUGGGAGACAGUGUCAGGCGGGCAGUUUGACUGGGGCGGUCGCCUCCUAAAAGGUAACGGAGGCGCUCAAAGGUUCCCUCAGAAUGGUUGGAAAUCAUUCAUAGAGUGUAAAGGCAUAAGGGAGCUUGACUGCGAGACCUACAAGUCGAGCAGGGUCGAAAGACGGACUUAGUGAUCCGGUGGUUCCGCAUGGAAGGGCCAUCGCUCAACGGAUAAAAGCUACCCCGGGGAUAACAGGCUUAUCUCCCCCAAGAGUUCACAUCGACGGGGAGGUUUGGCACCUCGAUGUCGGCUCAUCGCAUCCUGGGGCUGUAGUCGGUCCCAAGGGUUGGGCUGUUCGCCCAUUAAAGCGGUACGCGAGCUGGGUUCAGAACGUCGUGAGACAGUUCGGUCCCUAUCCGUCGUGGGCGUAGGAAAUUUGAGAGGAGCUGUCCUUAGUACGAGAGGACCGGGAUGGACAUACCUCUGGUGUACCAGUUGUCGUGCCAACGGCAUAGCUGGGUAGCUAUGUAUGGACGGGAUAAGUGCUGAAAGCAUCUAAGCAUGAAGCCCCCCUCAAGAUGAGAUUUCCCAACUUCGGUUAUAAGAUCCCUCGAAGAUGACGAGGUUAAUAGGUUCGAGGUGGAAGCGUGGUGACACGUGGAGCUGACGAAUACUAAUCGAUCGAAGACUUAAUC
Molecule: ribosomal RNA, 1492 nt
Filed under: Staphylococcus epidermidis
Lineage: Bacteria; Bacillati; Bacillota; Bacilli; Caryophanales; Staphylococcaceae
Also listed under: 1 other name
Description: bacterial LSU rRNA
Rfam family: Bacterial large subunit ribosomal RNA
Source: RNAcentral